GCGGGCGUAGCAAUACGUCAGCGGCAGACGGGUGAGUAACGCGUGGGAACGUACCUUUUGGUUCGGAACAACACAGGGAAACUUGUGCUAAUACCGGAUAAGCCCUUACGGGGAAAGAUUUAUCGCCGAAAGAUCGGCCCGCGUCUGAUUAGCUUGUUGGUGAGGUAACGGCUCACCAAGGCGACGAUCAGUAGCUGGUCUGAGAGGAUGAUCAGCCACAUUGGGACUGAGACACGGCCCAAACUCCUACGGGAGGCAGCAGUGGGGAAUAUUGGACAAUGGGCGCAAGCCUGAUCCAGCCAUGCCGCGUGAGUGAUGAAGGCCCUAGGG
Molecule: ribosomal RNA, 330 nt
Filed under: uncultured bacterium
Lineage: Bacteria
Description: bacterial SSU rRNA
Rfam family: Bacterial small subunit ribosomal RNA
Source: RNAcentral